This is a long non-coding RNA of Ornithodoros turicata, 2846 nucleotides long. RefSeq lists it as uncharacterized. The transcript has 5 exons. The record is from RefSeq and is a predicted model, not a curated record. Lineage: Eukaryota; Metazoa; Arthropoda; Arachnida; Ixodida; Argasidae.
AGUCACAUAUUCAAGAUAGGAGAAGGUCAAGAUCGACCCUGGGAACGAGGCUACGUGCCGAUUGCGUUGGCAUAUAGUGGAUCACUGGCUAUUUUGUCCCCGUGCCGUUUGAGAAGCCUCGCUUGUUGUUGGAUUUAAGUGAGCCCAGUUUUAAUAUUAAACAGGGACCUACAAUUAAGUUAUGCAUGACUUACAACUGACCUUUCAUGGCAUCCCAUAUUGUAAACACAACUGUCAUCUGGAUGGAGUCAAGAACCCUCAUUGAGCUUUUUAACAGUGGCUCCCUGCCUGUGUUCCAAGCAUACUCAAGACACAUCUUACAUUCAGACGAAAUGCUUUUUUCACUCAAUGUCUUCUCUGAAAAGCAGUCCUUCCGAUGCUCGAAACCUGUUUUCUUUGUUACUCCAAGCCUUCACUGUCCUCGUGGUUGGUCUCUAUGAUGGAGACCAAGUGUGCUGAUCUUUGAUUUGAUGAAGUCUUCACCUCUGCAGAAGCAAUCUGCUACCAAAGUCUUUCUCUCACUUAACAGAAAUUUCUGUAUUUAGGGACUUCGACUCAAAUGUGAGUGUCAUUUUUGGAAAAUGUAGAAUAGCAUAUCCUUUGGAUUCGUUGUGUAGUCCACAUGUUGAUACUAAAGGAUAUGUUGAUAUGUGUCUUGCCUUCUUUCUCCCAUUGCCAAUCCUGUAUCAGUUAAGUUCCUGCUUUCUUUUGUUUGUUCUUUGAGACCACUGCUAUACUCAAGACACUCAGCAGGAUUAUCACUGUGUUUCACAUUCAUGGUAACAUGCUUGCUUUUCCUAAUGUUAGCAGUUAGGAGACCACCUACCGGAUGUAUCUGCAUCAGUAUAUCAAGUGUGCCUGAUCAUCGUCACUGAGGAGUCAUGCCAAGUAGGCAUAAUGCUUUUGCCUUGACCCUUUUGCAAGAGCCUGUCAUCAAUCUGCUGCAUAGCUUCCUCAGACGGUCAAUAUGAGUAUCCAGAAAUAAUUAAUUCCAAAAGCCUGAUAUGUAAAUGUGUUUCCAGGCGAUCUGAACACAAGCACCACUUCACUAGAGAGAACUGAUGUUCUGAGGCUGGAACAACAUAGAAGGGACAAUCACAUACAAGGCUUCAAGUUGCCUAAGAAAUUAACCAUGAAAGAUGGAAGUCACUGAAAAGGUUAGCCAGCUGUAGGACUCGAACCCACAUCUUCUGGAUUACCGAUUACCAAUCCAGAAGAUGUGGGUUCGAGUCCUACAGCCUGCUAACGUUUUCAGUGACUUCCAUCUUUCAUGCAGCAUUUUUACCACUUUCCCUUGUUGAUUUUUUGCAUCCUCCUCCUUUUCCAGCAUCAGAUGUCCAUAUUCUCUGUUACAAAGGGGAGGUGUUUUUUGUAAAAGCUUACCACAGUGUACCGAGCUCCUGAACCUUACAAGUGUUCUAGGCCCAUAAUGGCGUGUGCCAUUCUUUAUAUGUGAAAACCUCAGCUCAGCCAACAAAGUCAUCCUAAGGGAGGCCGGAAUAUAUGCAAAGCAACACAAUUUUGCAUUUGUAUGAGUUUGCUAUGCCCCAUAUUUCUGAGACAGAGUGAACGAGAUAAGGUGCAUCGUAUCAUGCACAGACGUGACCUCUCACUGCUGUAGGUCGGCCCACUCUGAUGUUCAUGUUCAUGUUCUGCAUCAUUAUAUGCCUUGUCAAAAAUCAGGUUCCUUCCUGUUCCAAUGAUGUUGAAAGUCUACUACACCUUAGUUCACUCGCACCUUAAUUGUGCAGCUGAAGUGUACGGUCUUUGUUACUGAUUCCAAAGCUAGUACUACGAACAAUACUUAGAAUUCCAGCAGCUAAUUCCAUCAUUUUUCCUUUCUCGUUCCUAUUAGUUACAAAAUACAAAGUUUAAUCUGCACUGCUGACAUGCCGCAUAUUGUAACCGUCACUAAUAUUGUUUUCCCAUAUCUGCUACGACGGGAUUUCUCUACUUUCGUCUAUCCCCACCACACGCAAGAUAUGGAACACACUCACUGUAUUACACUGACCCAGACUUAUGGAAUAAAUUGCCAUUUCAUAUACACCAGAUCAAUAACUAUAUAUUUUCUGUUCAAGAGGAAAGUUAGUGUAUUUCCUUGCGUGCAUGUACAACCCUGUUGUAUGAUUGUCUUUGAGUUCACCGAUUACUUUUUGCAUUUUUUGCUUGGUUUGAAAUGUGUUUUGCGUACCAAAGAUAAGCUAAAUUUUGUAAUAUUACAGCAUGUAUCGGUCGAUAAUAGUAGUCUUGAUCUUUCUCUUGUUUUAUAUCCAGGAGUUUUUUAAUUUACUCGAGAUGCCAAAUGUUGCCUCACAAGAUUAUAUUCGUCUACCUAUACAUGAUGUGUUGUUACCUAUGGGAGUGCGUAACAGGCUUGUCCUAGCAGUCCCAUAGGUAACAACACAUAAUGUACAGGCAGACAAAUAAACUAUCAAUAUCUAUCUAUCUUUUGGAGACCUCACACUCAUUUCCCUUUGAGUCUCGGACUCUUUUGGCUCCAGUGCUUCAGCAUUUGGCUUAGCUUAGCUCCACUUAUGUUUAUGAUUACUUUUGAAUGCCACCUGCUUUUCCAUCUUUUUUUGCAGCCGGAAGCGAACGACUCUCUUCACAUUGUGUAUCUCAUUCCGAGCCCUUCCCAUUACCAACGCCUUCAACUUUGCUAGCAGGGUAUCUAUGGCCACAGCAAUCUUUUACCCCCAAUAUCUCAAACGACUGCUAUGGCCAUGUACAAUCCAACUUUUCUAAUUUGUCCCUCACACUCAACCGCCACUCAGAAGAAAGGCGGAUGGAGGAUGGGAGAUGGUGCAUUUGUAAAUUGCUGUAAAUAAACAAGUGAUUGAAACGUA